CAUAUAUUAGUUUUCGAAUAUCAAUCAAAUGUCAAUGUAAAUUUGCAAUUUAUAAAUAUAUCUAGAAAACUAAAAUGGUUCAGUAGAAAAUGCAUUAUAAAUGGAGAUAGCGUUCGAAAUAUGUUAGCGCCGUAAACGCGAUAGCGGACUUCCGGUAACGAACAUCCUCUUAUAAAUUUAUUUUUGAAUUUAUAAGACUACCAUUUUUUUUCUUAUAUUUGAACUAAAAAGAUAUUUAUAAAAACUUUUUUUUUAAUUUAGUAUAAUCUUACUUUUCAUACUGCGUGGUUCCAAAAAUAAACGAGAAAUUAAGUGAAGUAAAUGAGGUAUUAUUAAUUAUUAACAAUCAGAAAGGCAUAUGCAAAAUGAUUAAUAUGCAUAUGGAUGUAAAAGUUUAUCUUAUUAGUAUAAUAGUCGCUCAUGUUGCGGUGCGCCGUGUUCCAUUGGGAGCAUCCGUAAAGCUGUUAGAGGAGGAAGGAAUGGGAUCGUGAAACUUGUAACGUCACGCUAUAAAAAUGGUUAAAGAAUUUUAAUUUCUAUGACUAAAACAUUUUUAUUAUAAGAUAUUUAUGCGUAAUUAUUUCAAAAAUAAAGACCGAUGUAAUAUAUUUGGAGAUACGUUGGUUAUAAAAUAUGAGACAUCUAUUUCUAAGACGUGUAUAUACACGUUUAUCGAACACACAUUUAUGUUGUUUGAAGGUUUAUUUGGAAUUUAAAGAAUAUGUGAAUAAAGUACCAAUGCAAAGUAAUUCUUGUUUUCUACUAUUUUAUGUUUUUUUUUUUAUUUACAUAAAAUCGGAGAAAAAGUUUUUAAUUGAAAGGGAAGAAGAAUCUUCAAAUUUGUGAUGCCACAAUUAAAUGAGUCAUGCUUGAUGUGACAGAAAUAACGAAAGGGAAGAUGGAGUUAAAAAGUAUUCUACACAGGUUACACCCACAAUCUAUUGUAUUCUAAAUAGCGCGACAGUUUAUGGUUGCUCCCAUUCGGACGCAGUGCGUUCAUAAAUAGCAUCGCUUCAACUCGAAGCCUACAACUUCCGCGUUUAGCGAGCAAUAGCGAACUAAUAUUAGCGUGAGAAGUGUAUAUAAACUUGCAAAUAGGCGCCAUUUCGCCCUUUUGCAUGUAUAUAAAUUAGGAUAUAUACAAAUUGAUAUAGAACAAUAUAAUACAAAUUUGUAUAUUUAUUUUAUAUACGAAUAUGCUCAUUUGCAUAUACUGCAUUGAAUUUAAGCAUUGCCGGAUUUAAAGCUGUUUUCGAUUUACAUGGAAAUUCUUGGGACGAAUUAAUUGCGUAACUUGUGAAUAGUUUUAUAAUAAAAAUUGAAUACAACAUGUGAAAAUUAUUAUUUUUUUAAAUACAUC
Molecule: long non-coding RNA, 1360 nt
Filed under: Androctonus crassicauda
Lineage: Eukaryota; Metazoa; Arthropoda; Arachnida; Scorpiones; Buthidae
Source: RNAcentral